UACGGGGGGGCAAGCGUUGUUCGGAAUUACUGGGCGUAAAGGGUGCGUAGGCUGGUCUUUAAGUCCGGGGUGAAAUCCUGGAGCUCAACUCCAGAACUGCCUUUGAUACUGAAGAUCUUGAGUUCGGGAGAGGUGAGUGGAACUGCGAGUGUAGAGGUGAAAUUCGUAGAUAUUCGCAAGAACACCAGUGGCGAAGGCGGCUCACUGGCCCGAUACUGACGCUGAGGCACGAAAGCGUGGGGAGCAAACAGG
Molecule: ribosomal RNA, 252 nt
Filed under: uncultured bacterium
Lineage: Bacteria
Description: partial 16S ribosomal RNA
Rfam family: Bacterial small subunit ribosomal RNA
Source: RNAcentral